This is an unclassified non-coding RNA of Myotis lucifugus (little brown bat), 111 nucleotides long. It matches the Rfam family "Y RNA". Rfam says of the family: Y RNAs are components of the Ro ribonucleoprotein particle (Ro RNP), in association with Ro60 and La proteins. The Y RNAs and Ro60 and La proteins are well conserved, but the function of the Ro RNP is not known. Lineage: Eukaryota; Metazoa; Chordata; Mammalia; Chiroptera; Vespertilionidae. The record is from Ensembl.
CACUGGUCCGAAUGUAGUGAGUUAUCAUAAAUGGUUGUACACAGUCUGUUACAGAUUGAAAGCCUCCAUAUAUUUGCCUCCCUUCUCACUACUGCAUUUGACUAGUCUCUU